UACAGAGGGUGCAAGCGUUAAUCGGAUUUACUGGGCGUAAAGCGCGCGUAGGUGGCCAAUUAAGUCAAAUGUGAAAUCCCCGAGCUUAACUUGGGAAUUGCAUUCGAUACUGGUUGGCUAGAGUAUGGGAGAGGAUGGUAGAAUUCCAGGUGUAGCGGUGAAAUGCGUAGAGAUCUGGAGGAAUACCGAUGGCGAAGGCAGCCAUCUGGCCUAA
RNAcentral lists this ribosomal RNA (214 nucleotides) under uncultured bacterium. RNAcentral's name for it is "partial 16S ribosomal RNA". It matches the Rfam family "Bacterial small subunit ribosomal RNA", at positions 524 to 737 of the family's 1533-position model. The record is from RNAcentral.